GCCCUGAGAUGAGGUCUCCCGGGGAUUCAAUCCCCCUGAAGGGCCCUCGUAGACUACGAGGUUGAUAGGCCGGGGGUGUAAGCGCGGCGACGCGUUUAGCUGACCGGUACUAAUCGCCCGUGCGGCUUGACCACUAU
Molecule: ribosomal RNA, 137 nt
Filed under: Deltaproteobacteria bacterium
Lineage: Bacteria; Pseudomonadati; Myxococcota; Myxococcia
Description: partial 23S ribosomal RNA
Rfam family: Bacterial large subunit ribosomal RNA
Source: RNAcentral